Molecule: ribosomal RNA, 253 nt
Filed under: uncultured bacterium
Lineage: Bacteria
Description: partial 16S ribosomal RNA
Rfam family: Bacterial small subunit ribosomal RNA
Source: RNAcentral
UACGUAGGACCCAAGCGUUGUCCGGAUUUACUGGGUGUAAAGGGUGCGCAGGCGGGCUUGUGCGUCAGAGGUUAAAUACCACGGCUUAACCGUGGAAAUGCCUUUGAUACGGCAAGUCUUGAGUGCGAGAGAGGAUGGUGGAAUUCCUGGUGUAGCGGUGAAAUGCGUAGAUAUCAGGAGGAACACCAGUGGCGAAGGCGGCCAUCUGGCUCGCAACUGACGCUCAGGCACGAAAGCGUGGGGAGCAAACAGG